RNAcentral lists this long non-coding RNA (826 nucleotides) under Zonotrichia albicollis (white-throated sparrow). Its description in RNAcentral is "lncRNA (ENSZALG00000010117.1)". The record is from RNAcentral. Lineage: Eukaryota; Metazoa; Chordata; Aves; Passeriformes; Passerellidae.
UAGGAAGUAAACUUAUAUGAGUACACAAGGUUCUCAUGGACUUUUGGGACUUGAUAUUGAGCAGGAAAUGGCAAAUACCAGCAGACAUUCUCAUCCAGCCUGUCCUCCAGCUGGCAGCAGAAAGAUGCCCUAAAACCCCUUUUUUCUUCCAUUUUUGCAGUGUUUCAAAGGCCAGGGAAGAAAGCUCCCUCCAGCCCUGCAGCCUCCAAGCUGAGCUCCAGCUGCCCUGAGGGAUGCACUGCCCAGUGCUCCUGCUAAAGGCCACCUUUUAGUAGGAACUUUUCCAUUCUCAUAAUAAAUGAAGCACGAAGGCUGAUGUUUCUGCUGCUACAGUUUGGAAGAUCCCACUCAGAAAUGGAAAAGCCAUUCCUACAAAUGUAAACAUGAGUACAAGUCUUAAAUAAAUCUGUUUAUGGAACCAAUUUUUCUGGGCUUCAAUGGCUAAAAUGAGUGAACAGAAAUGCAAACCACCUCUGGUGGAGGACGAAGAAGCCAAGUGGCCGUGGUUGCUCUGUGUGAGUAUGAAUUUGCUGAACUUUGUUCCAGUAUAAGACAUUCUGAAGGAGAGGUGAGGAUGAAUUGGGAGGCCGUGGCUCUGCUGCUCCUCGUUUAUCUGCAGAGCUGCUCACAGAGGGGAAGGCAGAGGGAGUCAAAAUCCCAAAGGUGCCUGGAGGAAAGCAUGGACCUCACUGCUCUGGAGGAGAAAACUGAAAUACUGCAGAAAUGGAAAAGACAGGUAAAAAAAAACCCAAGAAACACUAGAAUUAUGGUUUUGUGGAAAAGAAUUUUACAUUAGCUGGUACGUGGAUACUGGGUUCUGUAUAUA